Non-coding RNA from Chrysemys picta bellii (western painted turtle), 608 nucleotides. The record is from RefSeq and is a predicted model, not a curated record. NCBI's taxonomy places the organism in Eukaryota, Metazoa, Chordata, Testudines, Emydidae.
CUAAUCUAUCUCCAGGAUGCUACAGAGGCUGGGAACAGCAGCGGUGAGAGUGUUACAUUGAAUCCCACUUUCCUUGAAAUCUAACGGCAACCCCUCAAGUCCUGCUGAAUACUACACCAGUCUUGAUCAUGAACUACAGUAAGAGUCCAAAAAGGAGAAAGUCAUCUUCCAGGUUAGCCCUGCCUCUUGGAAAUGUGUUGAAAGUGACCUGUUCCCACAACUGCUUCGGUUUUGGAGAGUCGGCAUUUUCCAGUGAAAAAAUGUUUUGUCGAAAAAUCAAGUUCCAGCCCAGGAUUCUCUCUAGGUCCCAUUUCUGGCCCAGCAACAUGGCUUCAUGUAGCCAUUGGUUCUCCCACCGUGACCUGCAGGAAGCCCACACACCACCAUGGAGGAAACAAUUAAUUUUUCAUCAGCUGGUUAUUAGGUUUCGGCACGGAAUCCUCGCAUCAAAAACGCCAUCCAGGGCCGUAUCAACGAGAAAUGAUUAAGUGCAAAAUAAUGAGAAAAUUAGGCAGUCCGCGACAGUCAGGCUUGAAACAAACGAUCCCUUACUCCAGCCCUGAGGCAGCUCAUGAAAAUAAAAAUAAAAUUAAUUAAUUAAAAAGGCA